This 220-nucleotide ribosomal RNA is filed under the name Clostridioides difficile. Its description in RNAcentral is "partial 16S ribosomal RNA". It matches the Rfam family "Bacterial small subunit ribosomal RNA", at positions 903 to 1120 of the family's 1533-position model. The record is from RNAcentral. Lineage: Bacteria; Bacillati; Bacillota; Clostridia; Peptostreptococcales; Peptostreptococcaceae.
AAAGGAAUUGACGGGGACCCGCACAAGUAGCGGAGCAGGUGGUUUAAUUCGAAGCAACGCGAAGAACCUUACCUAAGCUUGACAUCCCAAUGACAUCUCCUUAAUCGGAGAGUUCCCUUCGGGGACAGUGGUGACAGGUGGUGCAUGGUUGUCGUCAGCUCGUGUCGUGAGAUGUUGGGUUAAGUCCCGCAACGAGCGCAACCCUUGUCUUUAGUUGCCA